This 1004-nucleotide ribosomal RNA is filed under the name uncultured organism. Its description in RNAcentral is "bacterial SSU rRNA". It matches the Rfam family "Bacterial small subunit ribosomal RNA", at positions 356 to 1376 of the family's 1533-position model. The record is from RNAcentral.
CGGGAAUAUUGCGCAAUGGAGGAAACUCUGACGCAGUGACGCCGCGUAUAGGAAGAAGGUUUUCGGAUUGUAAACUAUUGUCGUUAGGGAAGAUACAAGACAGUACCUAAGGAGGAAGCUCCGGCUAACUACGUGCCAGCAGCCGCGGUAAUACGUAGGGAGCAAGCGUUAUCCGGAUUUAUUGGGUGUAAAGGGUGCGUAGACGGGACAACAAGUUAGUUGUGAAAUCCCUCGGCUUAACUGAGGAACUGCAACUAAAACUAUUGUUCUUGAGUGUUGGAGAGGAAAGUGGAAUUCCUAGUGUAGCGGUGAAAUGCGUAGAUAUUAGGAGGAACACCGGUGGCGAAGGCGACUUUCUGGACAAUAACUGACGUUGAGGCACGAAAGUGUGGGGAGCAAACAGGAUUAGAUACCCUGGUAGUCCACACCGUAAACGAUGGAUACUAGGUGUAGGAAAUGAUUUCAUUUUCUGUGCCGUCGCAAACGCAAUAAGUAUCCCACCUGGGGAGUACGGCCGCAAGGUUGAAACUCAAAGGAAUUGACGGGGGCCCGCACAAGCAGUGGAGUAUGUGGUUUAAUUCGAAGCAACGCGAAGAACCUUACCAGGGCUUGACAUAUAGAUGAAUAACUAAGAGAUUAGUUAGUCCUUCGGGACAUCUAUACAGGUGGUGCAUGGUUGUCGUCAGCUCGUGUCGUGAGAUGUUAGGUUAAGUCCUGCAACGAGCGCAACCCCUGUGAUUAGUUGCCAACAGGUUAAGCUGGGAACUCUAAUCAGACUGCCGGUGAUAAAUCGGAGGAAGGUGGGGAUGACGUCAAAUCAUCAUGCCCUUUAUGACCUGGGCUACACACGUACUACAAUGGAUGUUAACAGAGGGAAGCAAGACAGCGAUGUGGAGCAAACCCCUAAAAACAUUCUCAGUUCAGAUUGCAGGCUGCAACCCGCCUGCAUGAAGAUGGAAUUGCUAGUAAUCGCGGAUCAGCAUGCCGCGGUGAAUACGUUCCCG